GUUGGAGGAAAUAAAACAAAGGGACUCCGAUGGUUUCUAUUUCUACGAAAUCUCCAUCGAGGGCAACAAUGAUAUAGAGCAACUGAAGAUAGAAUGAUGGCAGUAGAAACAAGGGUUGGGAUGCCAAACAAUUUGAACUGCGAGGUUUUUUUUUUCAAAUUAUAUGAUAGUUUAAGCUGGAUUUUUCUUCUUGUUAAUGUUUUAUGAUGAUAGAU
This 215-nucleotide long non-coding RNA is filed under the name Gossypium barbadense (sea-island cotton). Its description in RNAcentral is "long non-coding RNA (GBAR_LNC012845)". Lineage: Eukaryota; Viridiplantae; Streptophyta; Magnoliopsida; Malvales; Malvaceae. The record is from RNAcentral.